This 440-nucleotide ribosomal RNA is filed under the name uncultured bacterium. Its description in RNAcentral is "partial 16S ribosomal RNA". It matches the Rfam family "Bacterial small subunit ribosomal RNA", at positions 338 to 795 of the family's 1533-position model. The record is from RNAcentral.
CCUACGGGAGGCAGCAGUGGGGAAUAUUGCACAAUGGGGGAAACCCUGAUGCAGCGACGCUGCGUGAGUGAAGAAGUAUUUCGGUAUGUAAAGCUCUAUCAGCAGGGAAGAAAAUGCCGGUACCUGACUAAGCAGCCCUGGCUAACUACGUGCCAGCAGCCGCGGUAAUACGUAGGGGGCAAGCGUUAUCCGGAUUUACUGGGUGUAAAGGGAGCGUAGACGGCAGCACAAGUCUGGAGUGAAAGGCCGGGGCUUAACCCCGGAACUGCUUUGGAAACUGUGCAGCUAGAGUGCAGGAGAGGUAAGUGGAAUUCCUAGUGUAGCGGUGAAAUGCGUAGAUAUUAGGAGGAACACCAGUGGCGAAGGCGGCUUACUGGACUGUAACUGACGUUGAGGCUCGAAAGCGUGGGGAGCAAACAGGAUUAGAUACCCUUGUAGUC